This 301-nucleotide ribosomal RNA is filed under the name uncultured bacterium. RNAcentral describes it as "partial 16S ribosomal RNA". It matches the Rfam family "Bacterial small subunit ribosomal RNA", at positions 509 to 807 of the family's 1533-position model. The record is from RNAcentral.
CAGUCGCCGCGGUAAUGCGUAGGUGGCAAGCGUUGUCCGGAAUUAUUGGGCGUAAAGGGCGCGUAGGCGGACUGAUAAGUCAGGGGUGAAAUCCCAAGGCUCAACCUUGGAACUGCCUUUGAUACUGUUUGUCUUGAGUUCGAGAGAGGUAAGUGGAACUGCGAGUGUAGAGGUGAAAUUCGUAGAUAUUCGCAAGAACACCAGUGGCGAAGGCGGCUCACUGGCCCGAUACUGACGCUGAGGCACGAAAGCGUGGGGAGCAAACAGGAUUAGAUACCCCAGUAGUCCCUGUCUCUUAUAC